This 1693-nucleotide long non-coding RNA is filed under the name Homo sapiens (human). RNAcentral's name for it is "HSALNT0394335". Lineage: Eukaryota; Metazoa; Chordata; Mammalia; Primates; Hominidae. The record is from RNAcentral.
GGCAGCACAAGACCUUCUGGGGGCACUCCACCGGAAAAGGGAAGAAAGCCUCAGAUAACAUUCCUAAGAUUCAGAGAUGGGACUAACUUAUUCAAGACCAUACAACUAGGCUAUGUAAGAACUACAACUUAUAUCAAGAGCUUUUGACUAUGAGUACAGGAAGCUUUCCAGUAACCCAUCAACCACUGAGCUGCAUGGUAUCUGAAAAUCAUUUUGGAGCCUAUUUAUCUGCUCAACAGAAGUGUUGCAGAGUUGCCAUCACUUGAUGUCUUAAUUUGGAUUAUGCCUUCAGGGAACCAGCUUUUGAAAUAUCUGGACCAGACAAGUAACAAAUUUCCCCACCAUGGUGGGAAGAUUCUUUGAAUGGAGUUUCAACAACUUCUGAAAAGCAAGCAGUUGUGUCACUGAAGAGAACAAGCAGACCACUGUAGCAAGGAGAGCCCCAAUAUUCUUUCCAUUCCUCAAGAGGAGGUUUCUGCCAAUCAGGUUUUCAUUACUUCAGCAGCGACACUGUAUUGAAGUGGUGUCAAAGUUCAAUUUUUAUAAGACCAAAGUUUGAGAUUAAUAAUGUGAGGGAAAUUUAUGUAUCAGAAUGGACCUGUAGAAGGAAAUCUACCUUGUGAAUUUGCUAAAGGAACAGUCAUUACAUUUUUGGCAGUAAUCAGGUCUAUCGAGAGCAGUAGCUGUGGUCUGAGAAAAACACCAGAGCAGUUUGAUUUUUCUUAAGGUAGAAGACAAUAGGGAGUCAAAAGAAGCAGGAUGAAAAUAAGGGAUAUUAUGCCAGUAAAGCUUUUAGUCAGCUAAUAGAGGGGGUCAAAGCACAAUAACAGGCAAGAUGUGUGGCAGAGAAAAGGGGAAGGAGAGGGUGCUGAAGAGUUGGAAAGUCAAUCUUGGUGCCUCAUCCUGAGGGGAGCUGUCCACCUGUGCAGGUAGCAGCUUGUUCUAUUAACUUGACUUAAGGAUAUGUUGAGUUUAAGCUGCUUUUGAGACAUCCAAGACAGCAUACCAAGCAGCAUUUGGAUGUAUAGGUUAGAAGGUUAAAACAAAGAGCUCUAAGGUGGAGAUAGAAAUUUGUAGCUCAUCUCCCUACAGAUUCUGGAUGGAGCCAUGGAGCCCCCUGGGAGAGAGUCUCAAGACAGAAGAGAACAGGAUUCGACUCUGCCAACCUCCAUGCUCUCAGUCCCACCAUGCUGCUUCUGGACCCACUGCAAAUUUCCCCUGUCUUUGGCCAGGUGGACCAGCCAAUGCCAUCUAUUCUGAGCAUGAACAGAAGGUUGCUGUUUCUAAGAAGUCAGGGGUCCUCCCUCGACACCAUCCUUCCACACUCCCUUUAUUGGUUGAGUAAACAGAGGUUGGGUUAGACAUAGCAGCAACAAAGAGAAGUACUCCUCUUUUUAUAAGCAUGGUCUAGAGAGUGUUUUCUAUAACUGCCACUAUAUCAUCACUUAAUUAGCAUCCCCUGUAAUGCUCUAAAUUCCUUCCUAUCUUACAUCUACCCAUAAUAGAGAAGUCCAUCAUAAUGUGUUGCCCUUAUCCUUGAAAAAUAUAUAGGGAUGUAAAAAUUAUAGUUGUUCCUCCAUAUUGGAUGGGGAUUGGUUCCAGAAUCCCCCACCCUCCUUCUCCAAAGAUACCAAAAUCUGAGGAUGCUCAAGUCUCUGAUAUAAAAUGGUGUAGUAUUUGCAUAUAACCUAUG